RNAcentral lists this non-coding RNA (96 nucleotides) under uncultured Megasphaera sp. Its description in RNAcentral is "SAM riboswitch (S box leader)". It matches the Rfam family "SAM riboswitch aptamer (S box leader)". From Rfam's summary of the family: The SAM riboswitch is found upstream of a number of genes which code for proteins involved in methionine or cysteine biosynthesis in Gram-positive bacteria. The SAM riboswitch acts at the level of transcription termination control. Lineage: Bacteria; Bacillati; Bacillota; Negativicutes; Veillonellales; Veillonellaceae. The record is from RNAcentral.
UUCAUCCAGAGCAGCAGAGGGACUGGCCCAAUGAAGCUGCGGCAACCUGCAAGAGCAAGGUGCCAAUUCCAGCAGGAAGUAUUCCUGAUAGAUGAG